GGCUGUAGCUCAGUAGUAGAGCAUUUGCCUUUGAAUGCAGAAGGUCCCAGCUUCAAUCCCUGGUAUGGCCA
Non-coding RNA from Podarcis lilfordi (Lilford's wall lizard), 71 nucleotides. The record is from the annotation of a GenBank genome assembly. Lineage: Eukaryota; Metazoa; Chordata; Lepidosauria; Squamata; Lacertidae.